UCGUAGUUCGAUACCAAUAGGCCUUCGGGCCAAUGCACCACAGCAGGCAGGCGACGGCACCCAGGGAGAAACCCAAGGGAGCAGGCUAGCGGAUUGGAAAGACACCCCGCGCGGGGAAAGAACCUCAGCAGACGACUGAAGAGACCAAGCAGGUCGAGAAAGCGGUCAAGUAGCCAGGUUGCUACGAGUUGCAGAGCGUCAUACCGACCUUGGCAAUAUUU
This 221-nucleotide ribosomal RNA is filed under the name Aspergillus restrictus. RNAcentral's name for it is "partial 28S large subunit ribosomal RNA". The record is from RNAcentral. Lineage: Eukaryota; Fungi; Ascomycota; Eurotiomycetes; Eurotiales; Aspergillaceae.